AAUAAAGUGGCUGAAAUUAAGCAAUAAAUUGUAAAUUUAUAUAUAGAUAAAAAUCUCUUUAUU
This 63-nucleotide transfer RNA is filed under the name Cucujoidea sp. 22 KM-2017. Its description in RNAcentral is "tRNA-Tyr". The record is from RNAcentral. Lineage: Eukaryota; Metazoa; Arthropoda; Insecta; Coleoptera.